AUGCUGGAUCCACCAGAUCGCAUCCCCGGCGCUCGCUUCUCCAUGCCUCCCCACAAACGCAACAUCAUCAUCGACUGCCGCCACGGACUUGUCCUUUUCCGCCGCCAAAGGCGGUCGCAAAGCCUAUUUGUGUGGGAGCCCGUCGCCCGCGAGAAGCGCCGCCUCAGCUUCCCACCGGAGCUGGACAACAGCGAGAUGUACAUCAUCAACGGGGCGGUGCUUCGCCCUGCCCGCGGCCGUUCAAGCCAUUUCCAGGUGGCCCUGAUAGCCAAAGGCAAAGAAAAUACAAGAGUUGCCGGAUGCCUUUUCUCAUCGGAGACCGGUUUAUGGAGCAACAUCAAAACACUGCAGCUGGAUUUGUCCAAUAGGUGUACGCCACAGCCCAGUACUUUGAUUGGGAAUUCCCUUUGCUGGUUAAUUGCGGUGCAUCGUGACCAUCCUCAAUAUGCCAUACUUGAGUUUGAUCUGGAUAGGCAGAGCCUAGCCGUGACAGAGCUGCCACCACACUUAGAAGCAGGCUAUGACCAAUUAAGGAUUAUUACACCGGGCGAAGAUGGUGGCCUUGGCUUCAUCCAUCUCUCACAUUUUCGCGCGCAGAUAUGGAAGAGAAAGCCUGAUUGUGAUGGUUUGGCUGUAUGGGUGAUCGACAGAGCUAUUGAAUUCAAGGAACUUAGAUCAAAUUGCAAGGGCUACUCCCUCACUUUAGUUGGGUUUGCCGAGGAGAGUAAUGCAAUCCUUGUACUUCCAGCUUCUGGCGUCUUCAUGGUAUAUCUCCAGUCAAUGGAGUUUAAGAAACUUUCCAAAUUGUGGGUCUGCUGUCUCUAUUAUCCAUUUGCAUCUUUCUAUCCUGCAGCCACCGGUGCCGGCCAUGGUGACGGUGGCAGGUGA
This 888-nucleotide ribosomal RNA is filed under the name Triticum aestivum (bread wheat). Its description in RNAcentral is "partial small subunit ribosomal RNA". The record is from RNAcentral. Lineage: Eukaryota; Viridiplantae; Streptophyta; Magnoliopsida; Poales; Poaceae.